RNAcentral lists this transfer RNA (69 nucleotides) under bovine gut metagenome. It matches the Rfam family "tRNA". From Rfam's summary of the family: Transfer RNA (tRNA) molecules are approximately 80 nucleotides in length. Their secondary structure includes four short double-helical elements and three loops (D, anti-codon, and T loops). Further hydrogen bonds mediate the characteristic L-shaped molecular structure. tRNAs have two regions of fundamental functional importance: the anti-codon, which is responsible for specific mRNA codon recognition, and the 3' end, to which the tRNAs corresponding amino acid is attached (by aminoacyl-tRNA synthetases). tRNAs cope with the degeneracy of the genetic code in two manners: having more than one tRNA (with a specific anti-codon) for a particular amino acid; and 'wobble' base-pairing, i.e. permitting non-standard base-pairing at the 3rd anti-codon position. The record is from RNAcentral.
CUCGUAGCUCAGCUGGUUAGAGCGCACGCUUGAUAAGCGUGAGGUCGAAGGUUCAAUUCCUUCCGGGCC